Molecule: ribosomal RNA, 301 nt
Filed under: uncultured bacterium
Lineage: Bacteria
Description: partial 16S ribosomal RNA
Rfam family: Bacterial small subunit ribosomal RNA
Source: RNAcentral
CAGCAGCCGCGGGAAUACAGAGGGUGCGAGCGUUAAUCGGAUUUACUGGGCGUAAAGCGUGCGUAGGCGGCUUUUUAAGUCGGAUGUGAAAUCCCUGAGCUUAACUUAGGAAUUGCAUUUGAUACUGGGAAGCUAGAGUAUGGGAGAGGAUGGUAGAAUUCCAGGUGUAGCGGUGAAAUGCGUAGAGAUCUGGAGGAAUACCGAUGGCGAAGGCAGCCAUCUGGCCUAAUACUGACGCUGAGGUACGAAAGCAUGGGGAGCAAACAGGAUUAGAUACCCGUGUAGUCCCUGUCUCUUAUAA